CUUCACCCUGCACUUGGUGAAACUUGUACGUCAAGGAUGCAAGAGGCGCCGAAGUAACGCAGCUCCCACCUGUCGCUCUCUGCUGGGCGCCGAGACUACGGCCGGAGAACAGCUGCAUUGGGAUUGGAGAAAGGAAGCCAUCAGUCUUAGGGAGGCUCCACCUUCUUGCCAUUGCCUGGUUGGAGGAGCGCAGCGUCAGUCACUAAGAGCGGUCACCACCUCUGGGACAGGAACUCUCUGCUCGCCCCUGGGUCCUACCAGCGCAACUAAUUCCAGUUAUAAUCAGAUCUGUGUGGUGCAAAACAAGGCUAGCUGUGCUGGUCUUCCCUCCUCUAAGGAUGUCUCUUCCUCCCUGUAUCCAUCUCUCUAUCUCUGUCUUUAUCUUGUCAAUAAAGAGGGGGGUUUAAAAAUG
Molecule: non-coding RNA, 412 nt
Organism: Macaca mulatta (Rhesus monkey)
Lineage: Eukaryota; Metazoa; Chordata; Mammalia; Primates; Cercopithecidae
Source: RefSeq, a predicted model, not a curated record